This 76-nucleotide transfer RNA is filed under the name Bacillota bacterium. RNAcentral describes it as "Firmicutes bacterium (anaerobic digester metagenome) tRNA-Lys". It matches the Rfam family "tRNA". From Rfam's summary of the family: Transfer RNA (tRNA) molecules are approximately 80 nucleotides in length. Their secondary structure includes four short double-helical elements and three loops (D, anti-codon, and T loops). The record is from RNAcentral. Lineage: Bacteria; Bacillati; Bacillota.
GGGCCAUUAGCUCAGUUGGCAGAGCACCUGACUUUUAAUCAGGGAGUCGAUGGUUCGAAUCCCCUAGGGGUCACCA